AUGCAGAGUGUAGCCAAGGCCUUAUGGCCAUCCGACUCCCCUCGAGGGAGUAUGGAGAAGCUUGUAGAGUUGUUCAAGGGAGCGCGGCGGUGUAUCCGACUAUGGAAGAUAUCGGCCUGCAGAGAGGGUGCGCGAGAGGCCUGGGCCAUGGUAAAAACACGAUAUGACAAGGUGGAUACGAAUCACAUGGCUCGGGUUGGACCACUAGGGUCAAAUGGGGAAGAAAUUCCCGUUAGUUUAGUAUAUGGCCAAGUAGAGGUGGCUGCUAGAUACUCCCAAUACGAUUGUAAAUUGGACUACCUGUUGGACGGUAUAGAGGAGGAAGUUUUUGAGUCCUAA
RNAcentral lists this ribosomal RNA (339 nucleotides) under Triticum aestivum (bread wheat). RNAcentral describes it as "partial small subunit ribosomal RNA". Lineage: Eukaryota; Viridiplantae; Streptophyta; Magnoliopsida; Poales; Poaceae. The record is from RNAcentral.